Long non-coding RNA from Canis lupus familiaris (dog), 964 nucleotides. RefSeq lists it as uncharacterized. The record is from RefSeq and is a predicted model, not a curated record. The transcript is spliced from 2 exons. Lineage: Eukaryota; Metazoa; Chordata; Mammalia; Carnivora; Canidae.
CCGCCCCCACGCGCCGUCCGGUGCGGUUGGCGCCCACGCGGAAGCGGGCAAACCCUGAGCGGCCCCAGCUGUCACCGCCCGAGGCGCCGUCAGGAAGGCGGCGAGUUACCGUGAGCACGGCAGGAAUGCUGACGGGGAAGGAGCUGACGGAGAAGGCGGACGGCAUCGUUCCGGAAAGGCCCACCCUCACCCCCUCCGCCUCGCUGUCCCCGCCCAGACCGCUCGCACGGGGAACGCCUCCGGCGUCGCCUCUCGCGGCAUUUCCACUUGUCGCGAAACUUGCGCGGAUCCAGCCAUCUCGCGAUAUCCGCUUGUGGGGGACCGGAGUCACGUCUCGCGGUAUCCCACGGCUUUAGAAGGCGUCUGGGGCUGGAACCGGAAGUAGGUCCCGGAUGGGCUCCCUCCCGGCGGGACAGGGGAGCGCGUCGGUGUCCACGGUUCCGCGUCCUGACCCGGGGCGGGUGCGCGUCCUGCCUGCACCCCGGGGGGACGGAGGGCACAGGGACCGUGACCGCGCCCGGGGGACCGCGGGGGCAGUGGCCUCACCCCGGGGGACCGAGGGCGACGGUGAUUGUGUCCGUGCUCCUGGGGGUUACCAGGUGACUCUGCACACCGCUGGACCCAGAGGGAUCGGGGGAGACAGUGUCCCGGCUCCUGGGGCCACACAGGGCCUGGGAGGGACCCCCUUUUGGUGGCACAUGCCCUGUGGGUGGGUGCACGUCACCUGGCUGUGGUCGCUGCACACCUGGGCCGUCGGAGUGCUGCCCGGGGAGCACAGGUGCGGUGCGGAAGGCCCUGCCCCGGGGCUUCAGAUGGAGAAAUGUUUUCUGAGCGUCAUGGGAUCGUUCAGACCCGUUAUUUUUGACUUCGUGGAUCGCCGUUGCGGAAUGCCAGUCGUUUAAAAACAUGCUUGUGAAAACUCUGUGAUUAUGGAUAAUAAAAGUUUAUAGGUUAAAUCCAAGAA